RNAcentral lists this unclassified non-coding RNA (350 nucleotides) under soil metagenome. Its description in RNAcentral is "partial contains 5.8S ribosomal RNA, internal transcribed spacer 2, and large subunit ribosomal RNA". The stretch from base 1 to 120 matches the Rfam family "5.8S ribosomal RNA", at positions 35 to 154 of the family's 154-position model. The record is from RNAcentral.
GAUGAAGAACGUAGCGAAACGCGAUAGGUAAUGUGAAUUGCAGAAUUCCGUGAAUCAUCGAGUCUUUGAACGCACAUUGCGCCCCCUGGCAUUCCGGGGGGCAUGCCUGUCCGAGCGUCAUUGCUGCCCUUCAAGCCCGGCUUGUGUGUUGGGUCGUCGUCCCCCCCGGGGGACGGGCCCGAAAGGCAGCGGCGGCACCGCGUCCGGUCCUCGAGCGUAUGGGGCUUUGUCACCCGCUCGAUUAGGGCCGGCCGGGCGCCAGCCGGCGUCUCCAACCUUCUAUUUUACCAGGUUGACCUCGGAUCAGGUAGGGAUACCCGCUGAACUUAAGCAUAUCAAUAAGCGGAGGA